Molecule: unclassified non-coding RNA, 221 nt
Filed under: soil metagenome
Description: partial contains 5.8S ribosomal RNA, internal transcribed spacer 2, and large subunit ribosomal RNA
Source: RNAcentral
AACAUCGCGCACCUGCGGGAACCUGCGGAAGGAUCAUUACACAAUACAAUAUGAAGGCUGUCCGCAGCUGGAGUAUUUUAUUACCCUUGUCUUUUGCGCACUUGUUGUUUCCUGGGCGGGUUCGCUCGCCACCAGGACCACCAAAUAAACCUUUUUUAUGCAGUUGCAAUCAGCGUCAGUACAAACAAUGUAAAUCAUUUACAACUUUUAACAAUGGAUCU